Molecule: ribosomal RNA, 453 nt
Filed under: uncultured bacterium
Lineage: Bacteria
Description: bacterial SSU rRNA
Rfam family: Bacterial small subunit ribosomal RNA
Source: RNAcentral
GGUCUAACACUAGUGGUGGAGCAUGUGGUUUAAUGCGAUAAUCCGCGCAAAACCUUACCAGUUCUUGACAUAUCUUAAUGAUUAUUUUUAAUUCACGAGGAAAUUUAAAAUAACAUUUUUUUACAGGUGUUGCACGUCUGUCGUCAGCUCGUGUCGUGAGAUGUUUGGUUAAGUCCUGAAACGGGCGCAACUCUUACUUUUAAAUAAAGUAUUACGUGCUAAAAAGUUUUAUUUUAAAACUUUUUAAAUGCUUAAAGUACUGUCAAUGAUAAAUUGAAGGAAGGUAAGAAUGAAGUCAAGUCAAUGUGACCCUAAUGAACUGGGCUACACAUGUGCUACAAUGAAAAUUACAAAAAGUGACAAAAAGAAAUUUUAAGUUAAUCAACAAAGAUUUUCCCAGUUCGAAUUGUAGACUGCAACUCGUCUACAUGAAGUUGGAAUCACUAGUAAUCG